CCGCAAGCCUUCCAGCAUGGCCGGGUCUCAUCCAUGACCCUGAUCACUCCUGUAGUGCUUGCAAGAGAAGACCUGAGAUGGUUUGAGGCCUUGCUCUGCCCCAACUUCGGGGUGAGGUUAUAGAAAUCUCAGACAAGC
Sphaerodactylus townsendi is the source of this 138-nucleotide small nucleolar RNA. RefSeq annotates it as small nucleolar RNA SNORA9. The record is from RefSeq and is a predicted model, not a curated record. Lineage: Eukaryota; Metazoa; Chordata; Lepidosauria; Squamata; Sphaerodactylidae. The transcript has a single exon.